UGGGGAAUUUUGGACAAUGGGCGCAAGCCUGAUCCAGCAAUGCCGCGUGAGUGAAGAAGGCCUUCGGGUUGUAAAGCUCUUUUGUCAGGGAAGAAACGGAUUGAUCUAAUAAAUUGGUCUAAUGACGGUACCUGAAGAAUAAGCACCGGCUAACUACGUGCCAGCAGCCGCGGUAAUACGUAGGGUGCAAGCGUUAAUCGGAAUUACUGGGCGUAAAGCGUGCGCAGGCGGUUCGUUAAGACAGAUGUGAAAUCCCCGGGCUUAACCUGGGAACUGCAUUUGUGACUGGCGAGCUAGAGUAUGGCAGAGGGGGGUAGAAUUCCACGUGUAGCAGUGAAAUGCGUAGAGAUGUGGAGGAAUACCGAUGGCGAAGGCAGCCCCCUGGGCCAAUACUGACGCUCAUGCACGAAAGCGUGGGGAGCAAACAGGAUUAGAUACCCCUGUAGUCC
This 449-nucleotide ribosomal RNA is filed under the name uncultured bacterium. RNAcentral describes it as "bacterial SSU rRNA". It matches the Rfam family "Bacterial small subunit ribosomal RNA", at positions 355 to 796 of the family's 1533-position model. The record is from RNAcentral.